Long non-coding RNA from Salvia hispanica, 583 nucleotides. RefSeq lists it as uncharacterized. Lineage: Eukaryota; Viridiplantae; Streptophyta; Magnoliopsida; Lamiales; Lamiaceae. The record is from RefSeq and is a predicted model, not a curated record.
AGAGCGCCAAUCAUGGCGGAGAGAAUUAAGCUUCGCGCCGCCAAUGAGGUUUUGAUUGGGAGGAGUCUGAGCCUCCAUUCAUGUACUGAUUGCAGCGAAAUGCCAUCACUUUAUAUUCACCCUCAAAUUCCUAAUUAAUUCAAAUUAUAUUCUGAAAAAACCCUAAUUACUUAUAAACCCCAAAUCCCCACCUUUUAUGCUUUUCCACUCUCUCUCCCUGCAACUUUACUCCUCGCUCGAACCACAUAACGCAUCUGAAUCACAAGUUGAUGAGCAGCCGAUGCAUUGCUUCGACUUGAAAUGUUUGGUAAUAGUUUGUGAUUGAUUGAGAUGGUUUCUUCACGGCAAUUGAAUUUUAAUUGAUGAGUAGUGUAAUGGUAUAAUCUAAUCCGUUGAUGAUGGUAUUUUGUUUGUUCCCACAUUGAUGUAUUCAGCAGCAGUUGGAUUCCAAGUAUUUGCUUGUUUGGUUCCUUCCAUAUGAUUUGAAUUUGUCAUUUUAGCUCACUCUCUUUGCCUUGUGGUAUUAAUUUGAGAUGUUGAUAUAAUGUAACUGAACUUUUCCUUUAUUCCCUCCUUCACCUGA